GACGAACGCUGGCGGCGUGCCUAAUACAUGCAAGUAGAACGCACAGUUUAUACCGUAGCUUGCUACACCAUAGACUGUGAGUUGCGAACGGGUGAGUAACGCGUAGGUAACCUGCCUGGUAGCGGGGGAUAACUAUUGGAAACGAUAGCUAAUACUGCAUAAUAUUAAUUAUUGCAUGAUAAUUAAUUGAAAGGUGCAAUUGCACCACUACCAGAUGGACCUGCGUUGUAUUAGCUAGUAGGGGAGGUAACGGCUCACCUAGGCGACGAAACAUAGCCGACCAGCGAGGGGAAGCGGCCUAGCUGGGACGGGGACACGGCCCAGCACACUAGGGGAGGCAGCAGGAGGGAAUUUUCGGCGAAGGACGAAAGGGUGAACGAGCGACGCCGCGUGAGUGAAGGAGGGUUUCGGAUCGUAAAGGUCAGUUAUAAGAGAAGAAUGGGUGGGAGAGUGGAAAGUUCACACUGUGACGGUAUCUUACCAGAAAGGGACGGCUAACUACGUG
RNAcentral lists this ribosomal RNA (505 nucleotides) under uncultured bacterium. Its description in RNAcentral is "partial 16S ribosomal RNA". It matches the Rfam family "Bacterial small subunit ribosomal RNA", at positions 28 to 507 of the family's 1533-position model. The record is from RNAcentral.